GACUAAACAAUGUUAUGUUAGUCUUGAUCAAAGUGUGAUCUCUGUAGUCCCUAACUUCUAAGGUUAGCGGAUUCUAAGAUGACAUUUUGCUCCAGAUUCACAUAACGUUUAUUCAUUUAUAUUUGUAUUGUUAACAGUUUGUAUUAGUUAUUAUGUAGGGUUUUAAGAUUUUAGAGUGUAAAUAGCCUCUUCUUUCAGUUGCAAGAUCUGAGAUCUUUGGAUCGAUUACUUGACAACUUUGUUCUGGGGGCAUACAUUUAUUUUCUGACCAAAAUCUUUGGGGGUACUCACAAUUUUCCAGAUUUAUGGUUUUUCUGUUCUUCUGGAACCCCUGUUUUGGUUACAAUUCUCAUUCUUUGGAUUUUUAAUUAUGAUUGUUUUGCGUCCAUUACCAAUUCUGAAGGAUUUAAUUGUUCCUUUUGGUGUAAUGGCUCGGACGCCAAAUUAAUAAUGUGGUGAUCCUGAUUUAUGGGUUUACUUCAAUACCAUUUGGUCUUGGAAACGCCUCAAACAUUU
This 516-nucleotide long non-coding RNA is filed under the name Medicago truncatula (barrel medic). Lineage: Eukaryota; Viridiplantae; Streptophyta; Magnoliopsida; Fabales; Fabaceae. The record is from RNAcentral.